UACGUAGGGUGCAAGCGUUGUCCGGAAUUAUUGGGCGUAAAGAGCUCGUAGGCGGUCUGUUGCGUCGGCUGUGAAAACCCGGGGCUCAACUCCGGGCCUGCAGCCGAUACGGGCAGACUAGAGUUCGGCAGGGGAGACUGGAAUUCCUGGUGUAGCGGUGGAAUGCGCAGAUAUCAGGAGGAACACCGAUGGCGAAGGCAGAUCUCUGGGCCAUUACUGACGCUG
RNAcentral lists this ribosomal RNA (225 nucleotides) under uncultured bacterium. RNAcentral's name for it is "partial 16S ribosomal RNA". It matches the Rfam family "Bacterial small subunit ribosomal RNA", at positions 524 to 748 of the family's 1533-position model. The record is from RNAcentral.